This is a non-coding RNA of Phrynosoma platyrhinos (Desert horned lizard), 73 nucleotides long. NCBI's taxonomy places the organism in Eukaryota, Metazoa, Chordata, Lepidosauria, Squamata, Phrynosomatidae. The record is from the annotation of a GenBank genome assembly.
GUCAGAAUGGUGUAGUGUUUUGAGCAUUGUACUAGAACUCUUGGAAACCAGGGUUCGAAUCCCUGCUCAGUCA